GCCCUACUGACGGAUUGAACGGUAUCCGAUAGCGAGAAUCGGGUAGGGC
Molecule: non-coding RNA, 49 nt
Filed under: unclassified sequences
Description: DUF2693-FD RNA
Rfam family: DUF2693-FD RNA
About the family: DUF2693-FD RNA is a non-coding RNA (ncRNA) recognised in Bacteroides by a bioinformatic analisis by Zasha Weinberg. No recognised genes.
Source: Rfam by way of RNAcentral